Molecule: ribosomal RNA, 591 nt
Filed under: Triticum aestivum (bread wheat)
Lineage: Eukaryota; Viridiplantae; Streptophyta; Magnoliopsida; Poales; Poaceae
Description: partial small subunit ribosomal RNA
Source: RNAcentral
AUGGCCGGUUCAUACAAGGUCCUUCAGUCGUCAUUUCCUCGACUAAAUCAGGAGGUCUCAAAAAAUGGGAAGAUGGGGUGGCGAUUUUCUUUGCUUCACAGAUCGCGGCCGUCCACAUCUCCUGGGCUUCUACGCCCAAGGGCAGGAUUGUACCAGGCCGCUGGAGACCCAGAGGCUGAGGCGAUUGCGAGGCGCGACCUGAGACCCCAGGCGACGUCGAAGACGCACGCUCCGGCGAUCUUUCAGCCGACUCAACCACCGGGAUCUUCGGCCGUCCAGAGCAAUACAAGCGCGGCGUUGGCGAUGCUCCGAUCGGCCACUGGGGUCGCGCUCCGGCGGCAGGCGCCGGCCCGUCGGUUCUCCGGCAGCAGCGGAUGCAGCCGCACCACCAGGCUACUCCGAUUUAUAGAGGAAGAUGUCCUCCGAUGGAGAGGGCCUGAGCUGCUGUUUGGCUGCAUCGCCCUUACCAUGAUGGUCACAUACAAGUACAAUGUGACAGGGAAGGGAAUACUGGGAUACAGAUUCGACGAGGCGAGGAAGGAGCAGGAGGCCAGGGAGCGGCGGGAGGAGGCGAGGAAGAACAAAUAUUGA